Molecule: ribosomal RNA, 371 nt
Filed under: uncultured bacterium
Lineage: Bacteria
Description: bacterial SSU rRNA
Rfam family: Bacterial small subunit ribosomal RNA
Source: RNAcentral
GGAGGGUGCAAGCGUUAUUCGGAUUUAUUGGGCGUAAAGAGUGUGUAGGCGGCCGGCCAAGCCAGAUGUGAAAGCCCAGGGCUUAACCCUGGAAGGGCAUUUGGAACUGGUUGGCUUGAGUUCGGGAGAGGGAAGUGGAAUUCCGGGUAUAGAGGUGAAAUUCGUAGAUAUCCGGAGGAACACCGGUGGCGAAGGCGACUUCCUGGACCGAAACUGACGCUGAGACACAAAAGCGUGGGGAGCAAACAGGAUUAGAUACCCUGGUAGUCCACGCUGUAAACGAUGGGCGCUAGGUGUGGGGGGUUUUUAAUCCCUCCGUGCCGCAGCUAACGCAUUAAGCGCCCCGCCUGGGGAGUACGGCCGCAAGGUUA